RNAcentral lists this unclassified non-coding RNA (373 nucleotides) under uncultured fungus. Its description in RNAcentral is "sequence contains ITS1". The stretch from base 1 to 99 matches the Rfam family "5.8S ribosomal RNA", at positions 50 to 154 of the family's 154-position model. The record is from RNAcentral. Lineage: Eukaryota; Fungi.
GAAAUGCGAUACGUAAUGCGAAUUGCACGAACUUGUGAGUCAUCAAAACUUUGAACGCACCUUGCGCUUCCGUCAGGAAGUAUGUCUGUUGGAGUGUCUGUUCAUCCCCACUUUCCCUCCCCUUUGUUGGGUUCGAGCGGAACAGGGCCGGCCGCUUGUCGCACGCCUCCGGGCGACGGGCAAGCGAGUCUAGAUGACAGACCCCCAAAACCGAACUCGCCCCCGCUCUUCAACUUGAGGAGCUCGGACGACGCGACGUGGUAUUUUGAAUAUCUGACGCGUCCCUCUCUGAGCUCGUGAUCAGGUGAGCCUCGGCAUUAAUGAGUUCAUCCGACCGGACCUCCAAUCAGACAAGAUUACCCGCUGAAUUUAA